This 396-nucleotide ribosomal RNA is filed under the name uncultured bacterium. RNAcentral's name for it is "bacterial SSU rRNA". It matches the Rfam family "Bacterial small subunit ribosomal RNA", at positions 8 to 431 of the family's 1533-position model. The record is from RNAcentral.
AGAGUUUGAUCAUGGCUCAGAACGUACGCUGGCGGCACGCCUAACACAUGCAAGUCGAACGAAGUAGCAAUACUUAGUGGCAGACGGGUGAGUAACAUGUGGGUAUCUGCCCUUUGGCCUGGAAUAACACGAGGAAACUUGUGCUAAUACCGGAUAAGUCUUUACGGAGAAAGCUUUAUGCACCAUUGGAUGAGCCUGCACUUGAUUAGUUUGUUGGUGGGGUAAUGGCCUACCAAGACUGUGAUCAAUAGCUGAUUUGAGAGGAUGAUCAGCCACAUUGGGACUGAGACACGGCCCAAACUCCUACGGGAGGCANCAGUGGGGAAUCUUGCACAAUGGAGGAAACUCUGAUGCAGCGAUGCCGCGUGAGUGAAGAAGGCCCUUGGGUUGUAAAGC